CAUUCAUUUAUUUUUUAAAAGAAACAUAGGAAAGGUAAACUAGCAACUAAUGAAAAUAAUUACCUAUAAGAGAUCUUAAAUUUUAUUUUGUAUGUUUACCAUUAGUAAUACUGAUAUUGUAGUGCUGAAACAUAAGCUAUAAGUAAAGCAUAUAAGCAAUUAUAGGCUUCCCUGGUAGCUCAGCUGGUAAAGAAUCUGUCUGCAAUGCAGGGGACCCUGGUUCAAUUCCUGGGUUGAAAACUCCCCUGGUGAAGGGAAUGGCUACCCAUUCCAGUAUUCCUGCCUGGAGAAUCCCAUGAACAGAGGAACCCGGACGUCUAUAGUCCAUGGGGUCACAAAGAGUCGGACACAACUGAGUAACUAAGCACAGCAUACAGCACAAGGAAAUACAUUUUUACUCAAAACCAUUAUUUGCACUGCAAGAGAAAAGAGAGGAAAAUAUAAAAUAAUAAAAAAGCCUGUAAUGCUUAAUUUUAAUUGUAAACAUCAAUUUGAAUUUAUGAAUUCUUAAAAGUGUUAUUUCCUAGCUAUGCCCACUGAAAUAUGGCCCAGAAGCAAAUGGGAGUUAAAAUUUUAUUUCCCCCGAAAAGGAAUAGAUAUUCCCCAGGUUGGGAACAUGACGAGUAUGAGGCACGUCUGGGACAUGUUAUACCUGAAGAAAGGAAGAAUUCAAAGACUAAUGCGGUCAAGUCUAAAAGAUACAGAAGCUAGUUUACAGUGACUUACACUGGCUACUGGCUCACAAUAGGAACAUCAAAAAGAACUAUGAUGUAACUGACUAUAAUACAUUGAAGAACAAAAACAUUGAUUCUUGAAAAAGAGAGAGGACUUUGGGAAAAAGGAAGGAGGGAAAAUAGUCUUUUUAAAAUAGAGAACAAACUAAUAAAUGUAAAAGAAAAUUAGAGAACUAAAAAUUUUAAACCAUCAUUUUGCACCUCAAUGUGAUAAACGAUUCAAUUAAGAUCAUCAGUUGAUGCUAGAGACAUUAAAUAAAAGGCUGUUAGAAAAAAGAACAUUCUCAUGGUGCCAAAAUAUUACCAUAAAGAAUACUAUUACUAAAGGGAGAAAAAUGACCUUUACAAUGGAAAGAUCUGUUAAUCAUAAUCUUAACUGAACAAUUAUCAUCAAUAAUGAGACAAUCCAGAAUUGCGUGUCUUCUGAUAUGAUACAAUAUAAAACCUAUAAGAUAAUCCAUGAAAUGCUCUUUCAAAAAACAUUUAACCUGAAUUUAAUCAAACCUAUAGACUUCCAGUUCAAAGGAAAUGCAAAUAAAGAAAACAAAUCAAGUAUAUAGACAGAUGAAGGAUAAUGUCAAGUAAUAGAUUAUUCAAAAAGUCACGACGGGAAAAAAAGCCAUCAGGGUAUGAGGAAGUCUCUUCCAGGCUAAAAGAGACAAUCAAAUAGAAAGUAUGAACCUUAAUUGAAUAGAUCACAAGAAAAACCCUAUAAAAGUUCAUUUUUGAGACAAUUGGAAAUAUCUGAGUAUGAAUAUAGAUGGUACAAUCAAUUUAAUAUUUCUUAAGUGUGACAAUGGGAUUGAAUUUAAUUAGAAAAAAUGUCCUUAUUUUAGGAGUAAAGUGUCCUGAUAAUGCUAGUAUGCAAAAUGUUAAUAAUUGUUGAGUUCAGGUGGAAGGCAAAUGGGCAUACAUGAUUUCAACUUUUAUAUACUCAAACAUUAUUUUUUAAUGAGAAGUGGAGGAAAAUUUCAGAGAAGGCAAUGGCACCCCAUUCCAGUACUCUUGCCUGGCAAAUUCCAUGGACGGAAGAGCCUGGUAGGCUGCAGUCCACGGGCUCGCUAGGAGUGGGCUCACUAGGAGUCGGACACGACUGAGCGACUUCACUUUCACUUUCACGCGUUGGAGAAGGAAAUGGCAACCCACUCCAGUGUUCUUGCCUGGAGAAACCCAGGGACAGGGGAGCCUGAUGGGCUUCCGUCUAUGGGGUCGCAUAGAGUCGGCCACUACUGAAUCGACUUAGCAGCAGCAGCAGAAUGAAAAUUUAAAUAGGAAAAAAAAAAGGUCUUUAACAAUGCUUACUUUGUGAGUGCCUAAAGAUAACCCAGGGCUUCACUGGUGGCUCAGAUGGUAAAGAAUUUGCCUGCAAUGCAGGAUACCGGGGUUCAAAACCUAGUGGAGGUGAUGGAAUUCCAGUUGAGCUAUUUAAAAUCCUAAAACAUGAUGCUGUGAAAGUGCUGCACUCAGUAUGUCAGCAAAUUUAGAAAAUAGCAGUGACCACAGGACUGGAAAAGGUCAGUUUUCAUGCCAAUCCCAAAGAAACACAAUGCCAAAGAAUGCUCAACUACCGUUCUUUGCACUCAUUUCACAUGCUAAAAGGUUAUACUCAAAAUCCUUCAAGUUAGGAUUCAGCAGUAUAUGAAGUAAGAACUUUCAGAUGUACAAGUUAGCUUUAGAAAAGGCAGAGAAACGAGAUAUCAAAUUGCCAACAUCCACUGGAUCAGAGAAAGCAAGGAAAUUCCACAAAAACUUCUGCUUCACUGACUAGUGACAGCCUGAAAGCCUUUGACUGUGGAUCACAACAAAUUGCGGAAAAUUCCUAAAGAGAUGGGAAUACCAGACCACCUUAUCUGCCUCCUGAGAAGCCUGUAUGCUAGUUAAGAAGCAACAGUUAGAACCUUAUAUGGAACAACAGACUGGUUCAAAAUUGGGAAAGGAGUAAGACAAGGCUGUAUAUUGUCACCCUACUUAUUUAACUUAUAUGCAGAGUACAUCGUGCGAAAUGCUGUGCUGGGUGAAUCACAAACUGGAAUCAAGAUUGCCCAGAGAAAUAUCAACAACCUCAAAUAUGCAGUUGAUACCACUCUAAUGACAGAGGGGCUUCCCUGGUUAGAGUCUGCCUGGAACGCGGGAGACCCGGGUUUGAUCCUUGGGUCGGGAAGAUUCCCCUGGGGAAGGAAAUGGCAACCCACUCCAGUACUCUUGCCUGGAGAAUCCCAUGGACGGAGGAGCCUGGUAGGCUACAGUCCAUGGGGUCGCAAAGAGUCGGUCACGACUGAGCAACUUCACUUCACUUUAACGACAGAAAGCAAAGAGAAACUAAAGAGCCUCUUGAUGAAAGUGAAAGAGGAGAGUGAAAAAGCUGUAUUAAAACUCAACAUUCAAAAAACUAAGAUCAUGGCAUCUGGUCCCAUCACUUCAUGGCAAAUAAAAGGUGAAAAGUGGAAGCAGUGACAGAUUUUACUUUCUUGGGCUCCAAAAUCACUGUGGCUGGUGAUGCAGCCAUGAAAUUAAAAUUUGCUUGCUCUUUUGAAGAAAAGCUAUGACAAACCUAGACAGCAUAUUAAAAAGCAGAGACAUCACUUUUCUGACAAAAGCCUGUAUAGUCAAAGCUAUGGUUUUUCCAGUAGUCAUGUAUGGAUGUGAGAGUUGGACCAUAAAGAAGGCUGAGUGCCAAAGAAUUGAUGCUUUUGAACUGUGGUGCUAGAGAAGACUCUUGAGAGUCCCUUGGACAGAAAGGAGAUCAAACUAGUCAAUUCUAAAGGAAAUCAACCAUGAAUAUUCACUGGAAGGACUGAUGCUGAAACUUCUAUACUUUGGCCACCUGAUGCCAAGAGCCAACUCAUUGGAAAAGACCCUGAUGCUGGGAAAAAUGAAGUCACUGUCAUGUCUGACUCUUUGUGACCCAAUACUGGGAAAGAUUGAAGGCAAAAGAAGAGAGUGGCAGAGGAUGAGAUGGUUAGAUAGCAUCAGCAUCACUGACUCAAUGGACAUGAAUUUGAGCAAACUCCAGGAGAUGGUGAAGGACAGGGAAGCCUGGUGCACUGUAGUCCACCAGGCUGCAGAGUUGGACAUGACUUAGUAGUGACUGAUGAACAACAAAAAGGUAAUGGAUACAAAGUAAUGGAAAUUUGGGGCAUUGUGUGUGUGUAUAUAUAUAUUUAUAUAUAUAUAUAUAUAGAGAGAGAGAGAGAGAGAGAGAGAGUGUUGUUGUUUAGUCAGUAAGUUAUGUCCAACUCUUUUGCGACCCCAUGGACUGCAGCCUACUAGGCUCUUCUGUCCAUGGGAUUCUUCAGGCAAGUAUACUGGAGUGGGUUGCCAUUUCUCUCUCCAGGAGAUUUUCCCAACCCAGGGAUCGGACCUGCUUCUCCUGCACUGACAGGCAGAUUCUUAGGGAAGACUAUAAAACAUCCAAAGCAAGCUUGAGACUUAAAAUUUUAGAAUUCAUAGCAGUAUUUUAAAAGUCAUAAAAUGAAGCAUAAACUCACUUGAUUUUCUGUAAUCCUAUCAUCACCCAAGAAACAUUACUGUUGUUAUAAUAUUUAAAAUGUAUUGAAGCACCUUGCAUAUAUUAGAAAAAAGCGCUUAGUGUAAUUUUUAAUGGCUGUAUUUACUAUCCAAGCAGAAUAAAGUAAAAUGAAACAUAAUAAAACUUCAGCCUAAGGAGAAAACUUAAAUCCCCAAUUAUUAGAAAUUGUGUUCUUUUAUAUACAAUGUCUUUUAAGAAACAGCAAACACAUAAACCCACAUCCACAGAUUUUGUUUAAAAUACAUAAGUAAAGUCUGAUUUAACACAUUUAAUUAAACCUUUUAAUACUCUAUGUUUAAAAUACAUCUUAACAAGAGUGCAUUUUCAGAUUACCCCAAAACACUGUAACAGCAUUCAUUAUUCUUUUAAAUCCUUAGUGAGUUUAAUUUUUAAAAAAAGAUGAAAGUGUAUAUCUCAGGUAAACUAUUUUCAAAGGAAUAUCAUUACUGUUCAUUUUAAAGAAGUUAUAUUAACAUAUCAGAGACCCUAAAUAAGUAAACAGAAAUAAAUGCAAAAAUGAAAAAACCUGGUUAGAUCUAAUGAGGUUUGAUACUUAACACCAGUAAAGGAUGACUGGAAAUGUGGAGCUAUCAGUUAACAGUGAAGGUCUAUUAUGAGCCAUCCUAGCAAUUGAUACCAAUUUUAUUCUAUGAACUCCUCCUCAGAGUAGUGAUGCCUAAUGGUAAUUUAAAAUUAGCUCAGGAAACACCCUUCUAGUUGCUAGAUGGGAUGCUGUUCAAUUCAAUUGCCAAAAAAGCCAAUUAGAUCUUAAAAAUAAAUAUAUAAAUAAAAUUAGCUCAAAACUGUACAUAAAUAUACAGCAUAGGUUAAAAUUUACAAAUUUUAAAAUUUGUCUUUUAAUUAUCCCAACAUUUAAUAAAAUUGUCAUUAAACAUCAGAACUGAAAACUAAAUAAAAAAUACAAGUGCUACUUAGUACUGUAUCUGAUUGUUUUUCUACCCUUUAGUCGUAUGUUCAGAAGCAUCUGACAAAAUUUCUGAAAUUAAAAAUGACAAUGUGUGUAAGUCUUUAUGGGCUUCGCUGGUGGAGCUCAUGGUAAAGAACCCACCUACCACUGCAGAUGUAAGAGACACAGGUUCGAUCGCUAGGUUGGGAGGAAUGCUUGGAGGAGGGCAUGGCAACCCACUCCAGUAUUCUUGCCUGGAGAAUCUCACGAACAGAGGAGCCUGGUAAGCUACAGUCCACAGGGUUGCAAGAGUCGGACAUGACUGAAGAGACUUAGCAUGCAGCAUGCACAAUCUCUAUAAACAAUUGUCAUUGCUUGUGUCAUUCUCAUCAAUUCAGAAAAAUGUAUAUUAGUGAUGAAUGGUAAGGAAUCUGGUCUUACCCCAAAAAAGUUCUGGCCUACAUCCUCAGGAGGUCCCAGUAGGAGAAGUGUCUUUAUUAUUCAUGUUGGGCUCCUCAAAUUACAUAAGCUAAUUUAUGCUAACAUGAGACUCUGGUAUCUGAGGUCUGCUAGUUCUCCAGGGAGGAUCAGGGCUGGAGAGUGAGUUCAACUAUGUGAUCAAAGAAUCAAUCAAGCAUGCCAAAUAAUAAAACUUUGGUAAAAAUAUGAAAACCAAAGCAUGGGUGAAUUUUCCCAGUUGGCAGUACUCUGCAUGGAGUAUCACAGAUUUUAGCUUGGAGUAUAUAUACAACAUUGUCCAAGGCUUCACCAGGAAUGGACAACUGGAAAGGAUGACUAGAAUUUAGACCCCUCCUUAUCUCUGACCAGUGUUCUCUUCCUUUGUCUGGUUCUAAUUUGUAUCCUUUCUCUGGAAUAACUAUGAUUGUGAAUAUAAUAGCUUUCAGUGAGUUCUGUCUUUCCAG
Molecule: long non-coding RNA, 6093 nt
Organism: Bos taurus (domestic cattle)
Lineage: Eukaryota; Metazoa; Chordata; Mammalia; Artiodactyla; Bovidae
Source: Ensembl